Molecule: long non-coding RNA, 234 nt
Filed under: Gossypium barbadense (sea-island cotton)
Lineage: Eukaryota; Viridiplantae; Streptophyta; Magnoliopsida; Malvales; Malvaceae
Description: long non-coding RNA (GBAR_LNC019217)
Source: RNAcentral
UAAACCCUAAACACAAACUCUAACACAUAAACUAUUAACCCAAAAUAAUAAACAUUAAACUGUAAUCCCUAAAACUCUAAACCAUGGACAUUAAAUCAUAUAUUCUAUAACGUAAACCCUUAAAUAAAAUAAAAAUUUUGCAGCGCCACUAAAGUUCCCAAUAGGCCUAACCUGACCCCGAAUCUUUAAACCCUAAAUCACUAACUCUUAUCUUCUAACCCUUAAACCACUAAC